UCGCAAUCCGCCAACCGGUCGAGCCGGGCCGCGGAAGGUUUUCAACCCAUCGAAGCCUCGCAAACCGGGGCAGAAGGUGAGCG
Molecule: non-coding RNA, 83 nt
Organism: Burkholderiales bacterium
Lineage: Bacteria; Pseudomonadati; Pseudomonadota; Betaproteobacteria; Burkholderiales
Source: Rfam